This 170-nucleotide ribosomal RNA is filed under the name uncultured bacterium. RNAcentral describes it as "partial 16S ribosomal RNA". It matches the Rfam family "Bacterial small subunit ribosomal RNA", at positions 338 to 525 of the family's 1533-position model. The record is from RNAcentral.
CCUACGGGAGGCAGCAGUGGGGAAUCUUGCGCAAUGGGCGAAAGCCUGACGCAGCCAUGCCGCGUGAAUGAUGAAGGUCUUAGGAUUGUAAAAUUCUUUCACCGGGGACGAUAAUGACGGUACCCGGAGAAGAAGCCCCAGCUAACUUCGUGCCAGCAGCCGCGGUAAUA